RNAcentral lists this ribosomal RNA (596 nucleotides) under uncultured freshwater bacterium. RNAcentral's name for it is "bacterial SSU rRNA". It matches the Rfam family "Bacterial small subunit ribosomal RNA", at positions 8 to 603 of the family's 1533-position model. The record is from RNAcentral.
AGAGUUUGAUCCUGGCUCAGGAUGAACGCUAGCGGCAGGCCUAAUACAUGCAAGUCGAACGAGGUUUAGUAGCAAUAUUAAACUUAGUGGCGCACGGGUGCGUAACGCGUAUGCAACCUACCUUCAACUGGGGAAUAGCCCCUCGAAAGAGGGAUUAAUACCCCAUAGUAAUUAGAAGAGGCAUCUCUUUUUGUUUAAAGCUACGGCGGUUGAAGAUGGGCAUGCGUGACAUUAGCUAGUUGGUGAGGUAACGGCUCACCAAGGCUACGAUGUCUAGGGGUUCUGAGAGGAUGAUCCCCCACACUGGUACUGAGACACGGACCAGACUCCUACGGGAGGCAGCAGUAAGGAAUAUUGGUCAAUGGACGAAAGUCUGAACCAGCCAUGCCGCGUGCAGGAUGACGGCCCUAUGGGUUGUAAACUGCUUUUGUACGGGAAUAAACCCGGGUACGUGUACCCGGCUGAAUGUACCGUAAGAAUAAGGAUCGGCUAACUCCGUGCCAGCAGCCGCGGUAAUACGGAGGAUCCAAGCGUUAUCCGGAUUCAUUGGGUUUAAAAGGUGCGUAGGCGGAUUUGUAAGUCAGGGGUGAAAUGCU